AGUGCUCCUGCUGACCUUCCCUGUCUGCAGCCCAGCUUUGGACUGUGGAGAUGCCCUCAGCCUCUACUCAGUGGCUCCAGCCUCAUAUUUGCGUGCUAUACCUUUAACCUCAAGUUCUCUUGCUGCUAACUUAAGCUGUGACUGUCCAGGACCUGCACACACACAUACAUGCACGCAUGCACACACACACACACACACACAGAAGGUGAACACACAGGAUGAGGCCCUGAAAACUCAUUUCACCCGUGUACCUCACCCAAAAAUUCCCCUUUGUACUCCUAUCUUUAUCUCUAACUGACAGCAUGAAGGUAGCCCGAAGUCCCCUCACCCUGUCUGUCCUCCUGAUUCUCUAGCCCAGUUCCCUCUAGCUCCAGCACAGACUCUUAUCUCCAGCCCUGACUGCUGAAACCCUCCAGCCCCAGCUCCAGCCCCUCAGGAGGGGACUGCGUGGGAGGAAUGACUCCAGCAAGCCGGCAGCUGACCCGUCUCUGGCCUGCAUGCCUCCCCCUGUGGUCCACUGCCGGUGGUCUUCAGCUCUCUCCUCGUCCCACCCCCAUGGUCUGCUGACAGCCCAGCCCAGUGCAUCCCUGCCAUCUCUGCUCUACCGCUGGUCCUCCCAACAACCAACUUACAGCUUCCAAUUGUGGACAAGAUAAGGACCAUUGCCCAGGCUGUCUAUGGAGCCAAAGAUAUCGAACUCUGUCCUGAGGCACAAGUCAAAAUAGAUCGUUACACUCAGCAGGGUUUUGGAAAUUUGCCCAUCUGCAUGGCAAAGACCGAUCUUUCUCUGUCUCACCAACCUGACAAAAAAGGUGUGCCAAGGGACUUCAUCUUACCUAUCAGUGAUGUCCGGGCCAGCAUAGGUGCUGGGUUCAUUUACCCUUUGGUCGGAACGGUGCACCACUGACAUCAUGGCUCGGCUGGACUCUGGAAAGCAGGAAAUUGCUGGAGUAUGUUUGGGCAUCAAUGAUGUCACCCGCUACGAAUGCCGGGUGGGGUUACUGGACUGAGGGCCAUGAAGAAAGAAAGCUGCGGCCCUGCCCCGUGGACUCACUGCCAUUCUGUUCUUUCUCACGUUUCAGUUCAGCUCACUUUGUUUUCCGUCCCCCUCCCUCUACUGUAAAAGUAUGUACUCAUUGUUUCAUUUCCUGCUGGAUCUGAUUCAGGUCAGUGAUGAAGUUCUUUGCGAGCUCAGUGGGGAGGCGUUUCCUCCCUUUCAUACCGGCCCUGCUUAGGGAUGCAUGGUUGGUUAUAUACUUGCUUCACUCGGUUAGGCAUGGAGGAGAAUUCAUUCAGACCUCAUAGGUUUAAAUCAAAUGCAUGACCCUUCACAUUUUCCAGAGAUUUAGACAGUUACAGUGAGACAAUUAAACAUUCACCCCCCAAGCUGCACUUGGAGAUGUGUAAGCAGUAAUGUAGUCAUGCGCUCCCCAUGAUAUGAGAGUGUGCAGAAUGCCACUCCCCACAGCAGGUCCACCAGGACCUCCUCAGGGAGCAUCUUGCCUACAAAAUCACCCAUCCCUUUUCCCCCACUUUCUUCACUUUCCCUACGUUUCCACUCCCACACCCACAAAUAAACAAAGAAACUUUGAGCUUAUUUUACAAAA
This is an RNA transcript of Homo sapiens (human), 1607 nucleotides long. It is a transcript of the gene named methylenetetrahydrofolate dehydrogenase (NADP+ dependent) 1 like pseudogene, with no coding region annotated. The record is from RefSeq and is marked validated. The transcript has 4 exons. Lineage: Eukaryota; Metazoa; Chordata; Mammalia; Primates; Hominidae.